CAGAUCUAUUGCUUUCUUAUUAUAAAAUGUUGCAUCGUUGCUUGCACAGUUUGCAGCCAGUUUCGUGCCGGUUUCGGGUUGGUCCAGACGUACUUUACGCGACUCAUAUUGUAUGUCCGGUCAUCUACUUUUUAAAUUCGCAUUAUAUUCGAUCAUCAAUCGACUAUAGUAAUGUUAUUUACUGUUUGCCCGUAUAUUGUCCGUAAAUGCCGGUUAAGUGUAUCGCCCCCAUGUUGAUUUGAUAUUCAUCAUUAGGAUGACCCAUCGUGCUGGCGUAGGUAUCUUUUAACAAAACAGCACAGAUUGUUUGUCUUUCUCCGCUGUGUGACUAUAGUAUUACUAAGUUUUAUGAAAUAUCUUUGUUUAAACUUAGGUUUUCUUUUUUUAUUUACAGUAUUUGCCGUGCCUUGAAGUCUAUAAGUUCUGCAUUGUAAAAUGUGGAUUUAUCAGUCAAAUUAGAAGAAGCUCUGAAAAUGGUCACAUUAAUCCACGAUGUAAUGCAAGUAGUGUGCAAUAUUGUCGCGUUCCAUCGACUGCCUAUUCGGUUCCGUUUAACGUGCAUUUAACAAGGUACUAGAACUUA
Molecule: long non-coding RNA, 583 nt
Organism: Dalotia coriaria
Lineage: Eukaryota; Metazoa; Arthropoda; Insecta; Coleoptera; Staphylinidae
Exons: 2
Source: RefSeq, a predicted model, not a curated record